This 629-nucleotide ribosomal RNA is filed under the name Bacillus pumilus. RNAcentral's name for it is "bacterial SSU rRNA". It matches the Rfam family "Bacterial small subunit ribosomal RNA", at positions 78 to 692 of the family's 1533-position model. Lineage: Bacteria; Bacillati; Bacillota; Bacilli; Caryophanales; Bacillaceae. The record is from RNAcentral.
GCUUGCUCCCGGAUGUUAGCGGCGGACGGGUGAGUAACACGUGGGUAACCUGCCUGUAAGACUGGGAUAACUCCGGGAAACCGGAGCUAAUACCGGAUAGUUCCUUGAACCGCAUGGUUCAAGGAUGAAAGACGGUUUCGGCUGUCACUUACAGAUGGACCCGCGGCGCAUUAGCUAGUUGGUGAGGUAACGGCUCACCAAGGCGACGAUGCGUAGCCGACCUGAGAGGGUGAUCGGCCACACUGGGACUGAGACACGGCCCAGACUCCUACGGGAGGCAGCAGUAGGGAAUCUUCCGCAAUGGACGAAAGUCUGACGGAGCAACGCCGCGUGAGUGAUGAAGGUUUUCGGAUCGUAAAGCUCUGUUGUUAGGGAAGAACAAGUGCAAGAGUAACUGCUUGCACCUUGACGGUACCUAACCAGAAAGCCACGGCUAACUACGUGCCAGCAGCCGCGGUAAUACGUAGGUGGCAAGCGUUGUCCGGAAUUAUUGGGCGUAAAGGGCUCGCAGGCGGUUUCUUAAGUCUGAUGUGAAAGCCCCCGGCUCAACCGGGGAGGGUCAUUGGAAACUGGGAAACUUGAGUGCAGAAGAGGAGAGUGGAAUUCCACGUGUAGCGGUGAAAUGCGUA